UACGGGGGGGGCAAGCGUUGUUCGGAAUUACUGGGCGUAAAGGGCUCGUAGGUGGCCAACUAAGUCGGACGUGAAAUCCCUCGGCUUAACCGGGGAACUGCGUCCGAUACUGGUUGGCUUGAGUUUGGGAGAGGGAUGCGGAAUUCCAGGUGUAGCGGUGAAAUGCGUAGAUAUCUGGAGGAACACCGGAGGCGAAGGCGGCUCACUGGGGGUUUUCUGACGCUGAGGAACGAAAGCCAGGGGAGCGAACGGG
Molecule: ribosomal RNA, 253 nt
Filed under: uncultured bacterium
Lineage: Bacteria
Description: partial 16S ribosomal RNA
Rfam family: Bacterial small subunit ribosomal RNA
Source: RNAcentral